UUGUAAUUUGUACAGUGAUGUUUUCUCCCCUAAUUUUCAAUUUCUAUCAGGUACUUCAAAUUUACUGCUUGAACAUGCCGAUAUACAGCUUGCCUGACUGUGCCACUAGUUUAAUUUCUUUGCUGUCCACAACAAAUUUAUGUCAAGUGAUGCUUCAUUUUCUGCAAGGUUAUUGCCUGACUGUGCUGCUGGUUUAAAUUUCUUAUGCCUUGGCAGUGGAGACCAGCGCAUUCAAGGAGAGUUGGCAUGUUGAUCAAAUUGGUACGUGAAUACAGUGAUAAAUUUUCUUGCUAGGGAUGAUUACUUGUUGCUUCUUUUCUUCUUUCUAACAGGGCAUGUCCGCAUAGUGGUCAAUUUACUGUCCUGAUAUUCCUCCACACAAGGGAGCCUCAGUCUGUCCCUCACAAAAAAUGGGAGCUCCAGCAUGCAGUUGCUGUCCGCAUAGUGGUGAUGUUUUACAAAUAUCUGAGGCACACAGCGAUUCCAUUUAUGUUGGCUCAUUUAACUCAAUGGCCACCAUUACACCUACAGGUUCAGGUUCAGUCAAAUAAGAGCCGGUAAUCAUCUUGGUUAGCACCAAUAGCCGCAAGGGCAUGGGCUAUUUUAAUACAAACAGAGGGGCAAAAGAGAAUUUCAAAUGAACUAAAAUUCAUCCGGAUAAAAGACCAGAUUAUGAACUGAUGUUGGGUCUGCACAUUUUCUAUUUAGAGCCUAUUAUGAACUUUCAAAAGUGCAUGGUACGCUGUUUAGCAAAUCUGUAAUAAAGUUGGCAUUCACAUGGUUAUGUAAACCUGCAAAAUCGCUAUAAUAUUUGGCCUUAAUAUCACACAACUUGAAUUGAUCAUUUUUUAAAACA
Non-coding RNA from Lolium perenne, 856 nucleotides. The record is from RefSeq and is a predicted model, not a curated record. NCBI's taxonomy places the organism in Eukaryota, Viridiplantae, Streptophyta, Magnoliopsida, Poales, Poaceae.